AAAAUUCUUGCCUACGGAGACCACAUGUUUCUUGUGUUAAUUCACUCGGCUUGACCCCCUGUAUUAGCCCUAUAAUUUUAGGUACUGAGACCUGAGACACCCUGUAUAGUUCGUUAUCAGAGUAUCAUAUAGCUUACGUCAUUUCAUAAUACAGCUUUUGUGUGAUUACGAUAAACUCUAAGAUAAUAUCAGAUACGCAUCAAAUUUCACCCAAGUGUCAGCACGUCGAGUGCCACGUUAUUUUAUGAGAAAAUCACCCUCCAGGCCACGCGCGCUGCUCAGCGUUGCGAACCGCAUCAUUAGCAAAUUCAAAUUUUUACGAUGCGGCUGUUCAAACGCGUUAUUAGGGCCAUUAUUGCUUAUCAUAGUGGAAGAUCUAUCUACAAUUUCGAACGAGAUGUGUGUCUAGUCUGGUAUUUCAAGUUGUUCAAAUAUACCGGUAACAUCAAUCGCUUGCUGGAUGAAAAUUGUGCGGAAUUUGAAUAAAUCCAAGUGGUACGGAAGCAGCAGGUUUUAUAUACCUACACGCAAACGCAUCCGAGACCGCCCCUGUUCUCGUUGUCAGCACUAAAUGAACCAUCAGGGUCGCCAUAAAUCGUGUGGCUAUCAGAUCUGUGCUCUGGACCGGACUCCUCUAUACCCUCGAUAUAAUGAGGGACCACCGCCCAGUGUAAUGGAAGCACUCUCUUCGACGGCGUCCGCAGAUGUCCGGUAGAUUGACCCCGUCCUUCGCCCUCUGUGUCGUGAUGCCGAAGAAAAUUGCACUGCCUCCUGCUAACACUAAAGCUAAGUACGGAUAACGGUGUGCAAGUCCGACGGUGAGGAGCAAAGAUGACAUCGGUUUUGUACAAGAGAAGCGUUACACUUACAUUUCAGUUAGUCUUGCGGCUGAGCAGUGAGCUGGAUGUGAAAUCAGUAUGCCACGACGCGGCGCCUAUCGCUUCACCUCUCUGGCUAAUUAACUCUCAGAUUCAUUAUCGACACCUCAGCGGACUCGGGGAUUGUCUUAAUUUAAGACUCAACCUUUCAAGUCGCGGCAUACGUCACACCUCGUCCUGAGGUUUUCAAGGUGGAUUGUCGUUAAUGCGACGUAUUCCCACGCGGAAUAACGUUAUCCAUGAUCCUUUCGCGGUCUUCGGCGUUACGGGCUAUCGCAACUAAUAAUGUAUAGAGCCGAGCGCAUAAGUAUAUUAUAAAUUCUUCUACUUAGUUUGAUACGAUAUGGUGGUAUAGAGGGAAGAAUAGAAAAAAUAAAUAAAUAAACAUAAGUAUUGAAAGAAAAGAUGUAUGUACGUAGUCGCAUGUGAAAGCAGCUGUCAGUGUACACGCCGUUCGUUCCGUAAGUAUCCAACAAUUUUGCAUCUCGCUAGCUAUUGAGAUGCAAAUUGAAAAUGUAUCCUCUGGGUGCAAACGGCAAAUGAACGCAGGAGAAACGAUACCGUUUAUUGGCCGUAGGGAAUUAGUUUUGCAUAUGCAUCCGUGCCCUGCAUUAAAUUAGUUGCGCUUAAAUGCAAAUCGAUCGGCUAAUCGAUGCUUUCAACGCUAAGCGUCAGAGAUUCAAGUUACUGAGCUUUAUCAAUUUUAGUUGAUGUCUUUAAAUAUUUUCCAACUGUUAUGAACUCCUCCCCCCACCCCGUCGAUACAAGCCGGUAAAACAGAUUUUCCGACACAAUUGCAAAUGGAUCCGUACGCCAACGUGUCAAUGGAUCAUCGGUGACCUAGGGAUGAUUAUUGAUACCGCAAAGAUCUAUGCUGCACCCCCGCGCUGGACCUGUGUGCUCAAUUGAAAAGAAAAAAAUGUUUUGAAACGUGAUAUCGCUUGUAUUACGUUUAGACUCGUUGGUACCCACUUUUUUUUCAAUUGUACCUCGACCGAAAAAAAAGAUAAAGUCGUUUUUUGGUUUUUGAGGACCUAACUUUUCUGUUUUUACGGAUAAUAGAAAAAAUUUAGGAUGGGACGCAUUAUAAGUAGCACAACAAUAAAGAAAUUAUGCUGCAGCUGCUUUUUCCCGAAACUUCAUUCAUUCUGCAGAAUACAAAUGAUAAAUAAUGAAAAGUCACGAGACAUAAAAUACAAAUGAAAAAAAGUGGUACCAAAGGGUACAAAGGAUUCAGAAGCGAUUACUAUUGGAAAAUACAAAAUUUUCAAAAGUCGGGUGGGGGUCAUUUUUUCAAAACGCUAUUUAUUUUUCCCCCCGCGGUACGAACAAAAAACAAGGUGGUACAAACGAGUACAAAAAAAAUAUAAGUGAUAUCACAUUCUAAAACAUUUUUUUUCGAAUAUCGGGUGCGAGAUUCACAUAGAUGCGCCCUGGGCACACUGAAUCCUAUUCGAUCGUGACUGAUAACGCAACCGGUAGUUCCUCGAGGUGUCUGCCGAUUAUCCGCGUCACCACUCAUUCUUGAAGAUUGAAGAAGAAUUGAUAUUUAUCACGUCAAAUAUUCCGGAAGAUGCUUUGGAGUGGGAACGAUAUUUGUUCGGCUUCAAUUACAUACUCACAUCAGUAUUAUUUCGUAGCCCCGCUAACGAGAAAGGAAUUCGGCAAUUAGUGCCUCAUGCAAAAACACGCGGGAAGAGAUCGCCGUCAAAGUGGAUCUGGGAGUUGGUAGAGGAAUCCUUGGUCGGUCAUUGUUCGGUAUCCAGCGAGCAACGAGCCAUGGGAAAUACCUUUGCCUUGCUACUUCGGAGCCGCCUCAGUAGCAUUUUAUAGCUCGUCUUCCCUGAUUUGUUUGAAGGCUCAACGAGAUGCUUCUCACCGAUCGGUCUCCUCUGAUCGU
Molecule: long non-coding RNA, 2778 nt
Organism: Athalia rosae (coleseed sawfly)
Lineage: Eukaryota; Metazoa; Arthropoda; Insecta; Hymenoptera; Athaliidae
Exons: 3
Source: RefSeq, a predicted model, not a curated record